RNAcentral lists this ribosomal RNA (350 nucleotides) under uncultured fungus. RNAcentral's name for it is "SSU rRNA". It matches the Rfam family "Eukaryotic small subunit ribosomal RNA", at positions 300 to 651 of the family's 1831-position model. The record is from RNAcentral. Lineage: Eukaryota; Fungi.
CAAAUUUCUGGCCCUAUCAACUUUCGAUGGUAGAGUAGUGGUCUACAUGGUUUCAACGGGUAACGGGGAAUUAGGGUUCUAUUCCGGAGAGGGAGCCUGAGAAACGGUACCACAUCCAAGGAAGGCAGCAGGCGCGCAAAUUACCCAAUCCCGACACGGGGAGGUAGUGACAAUAAAUACUGAUAACAGGGCUCUUUUGGGUCUUGUAAUUGGAAUGAGUACAAUUUAAAUCCCUUACGAGGAACAAUUGGAGGGCAAGUCUGGUGCAGCAACGCGGAUAAUUUCCAGUUCCAAUAGCGUAUAUAAAGUUGUUGCAGUUAAAAAGAUCGUAGUUUGAACCUUGGGCCUUG